This 773-nucleotide ribosomal RNA is filed under the name uncultured Neocallimastigales. RNAcentral describes it as "partial large subunit ribosomal RNA". It matches the Rfam family "Eukaryotic large subunit ribosomal RNA", at positions 22 to 644 of the family's 3401-position model. Lineage: Eukaryota; Fungi; Neocallimastigomycota; Neocallimastigomycetes; Neocallimastigales. The record is from RNAcentral.
GUACACGCUGUGACUAGCAUAUCAAUAAGCGGAGGAAAAGAAACUAACAAGGAUUCCCCUAGUAACGGCGAGUGAAGCGGGAAGAGCUCAAAUUUGAAAUCUUAAAGGGUUUCCCUUUACGAAUUGUAGUUUAAAGAAGUGUUUUCUGUUGAGGUUUUGGUAAAAGUUCUUUGGAAUAGGACAUCAUAGAGGGUGAGAAUCCCGUAUUUGACCUUUACUUUCAACUUUGUGAUACACUUCCAAAGAGUCGGAUUGUUUGGGAAUGCAGUCCAAAAUGGGUGGUAAAUUUCAUCUAAGCUAAAUAUUGGCGAGAGACCGAUAGCGAACAAGUACCGUGAGGGAAAGAUGAAAAGAACUUUGAAAAGAGAGUUAAACAGUACGUGAAAUUGUCAAAAGGGAAGCGUUUGACACCAGUGUUGUUUUUCUGAAAAUCAAUUAAAGAACUGUUUAUGCUAAGUUGUUUAGACUUUAUCAGCUAACUGUUUAGUUUUGAGCUUUUCUUUAAUGCACUUUUCAGUUAACAAGUCAACAUCAAUUUCUUUUGCUGUAAAAAAGCUUGAGGAAGGUGGCUUGAGAUUCGUCUUAAGUGUUUAUAGCCUCUUGCCUAUGCAGUCGGAGAGAUUGAGGUCUGCAGCGUAGAUCCUUCGGGGCUAAAUGCAUUUGUGCUAAGUUAUAGCAUUUUAUAGACAACUUGUUGACUACGAUUUGUCUUGUAGCUUACUCGCUUAUGUUAUUUUACCUACGCUUAGGAUGUUGACUGAUAUGUAGUCGUA